This 568-nucleotide ribosomal RNA is filed under the name Physalaemus biligonigerus (weeping frog). RNAcentral's name for it is "partial large subunit ribosomal RNA". It matches the Rfam family "Bacterial large subunit ribosomal RNA", at positions 1817 to 2597 of the family's 2925-position model. The record is from RNAcentral. Lineage: Eukaryota; Metazoa; Chordata; Amphibia; Anura; Leptodactylidae.
CGCCUCUUGUUACCCAUAAGAGGUCUAGCCUGCCCAGUGAUUUAAUUCAACGGCCGCGGUAUCCUAACCGUGCGAAGGUAGCGUAAUCACUUGUUCUUUAAAUGAGGACUAGUAUGAAUGGCAUCACGAGGGUUAUACUGUCUCCCUUUUUUAAUCAGUGAAACUAAUCUCCCCGUGAAGAAGCGGGGAUUAAACUAUAAGACGAGAAGACCCUAUGGAGCUUUAAACUAAACAGCAACUGUUCUAAACCUAUUUCCCUUCAGAGCCGUAUCCCUUAUUUUAACAUUAUGUCUGUUAGUUUUCGGUUGGGGUGACCGCGGAACAUAAAACAACCUCCACAAUGAAAGAGACUAUAUCUCUAAACCCAGAGUUACUACUCUAAGUAUCAAAAAUUUGACAUCUAUUGACCCAAUCUAUUGAUCAACGAACCAAGUUACCCUAGGGAUAACAGCGCAAUCCACUUCAAGAGCUCUUAUCGACAAGUGGGUUUACGACCUCGAUGUUGGAUCAGGGUAUCCUAGUGGUGCAGCCGCUACUAAAGGUUCGUUUGUUCAACGAUUAAAACCCU